AGCUCAGUGUCACAGACCUUUGUGGAAGCAACAACAGCUCCCAUCCUUCCAACCUUUCUGGAGAAGCCGUGGCCUGAUGGUGAGCCGAAUGGGCUGGGGGGGGAGAAGAAGGCGGCUGGGGCGGUGGGGAGAUCUGGGGCCCGGAUCGGUGCCCCUCCUCCCCAUGCCACUGCCACCUCCUCCUCCUCCUUCAUGCCGGGGACCUGGGGGAGGGAGGAUCUCCAUCUUCUCUCUGUCCCCUGCCCCUCAUACAAGAAGCUCCCCCUCCUCAUUUUCCCCUCCCACCGCAGGGCCCCCUUGCUCAGUGCUACAGGGGACAGGGGCUUCUCAGUCUUGCCACAGUGCUCUCCCUAUCCCAGCCACCCCCCCAACACAGGCUCAACCUGCAAUGACACCUGCCUCUGCAUCUCCCUCCUGGGGAUCCCACUCCACCCCACCCCUGGCCCCGGCAACCCCCACUCCCUCACAGCAGUGCCCCCAGGACUCUCCUGGGCUGCGGGUAGGCCCUUUGAUCCCUGAACAGGAUUAUGAGCGGCUGGAGGACUGUGACCCUGAGGGGUCCCAAGACUCACCCAUCCACGGGGAGGAGCAGCAACCCCUGCUUCAUGUCCCUGAAGGGCUCCGAGGCUCCUGGCAUCACAUCCAGAACCUGGACAGUUUCUUCACCAAGAUCUACAGCUACCACCAGCGGAAUGGCUUUGCCUGCAUCUUGCUGGAGGAUGUCUUCCAGCUGGGACAAUUUAUUUUCAUUGUCACCUUCACAACCUUCCUCCUUCGAUGCGUGGAUUACAAUGUUCUCUUUGCCAACCAACCAAGUAACCAUACCAGACCUGGGCCGUUCCACAGCAAAGUGACCCUGUCAGAUGCCAUCCUACCCUCAGCCCAGUGUGCUGAGAGGAUCCGCUCCAGCCCGCUGCUGGUCCUCCUCCUGGUCCUGGCUGCCGGCUUCUGGCUGGUCCAACUGCUUCGCUCAGUCUGCAACCUCUUCAGCUACUGGGACAUCCAGGUGUUUUACAGGGAGGCCCUGCACAUCCCCCCGGUCUUUCAUUCCGGAAGAGCAGUGCCAGGGUCGUGCGCCGCAGCUCCUGCUGCAGACAGCCCUGGCCCACAUGCACUACCUCCCGGAGGAGCCCGGCCCCGGCGGCAGGGACCGCGCCUACCGGCAGAUGGCGCAGCUGCUGCAGUACCGAGCGGUCUCCCUCCUGGAGGAGCUCCUGUCCCCGCUCCUCACCCCGCUGUUUCUGCUUUUCUGGUUCCGCCCUCGUGCCCUGGAGAUUAUCGACUUUUUUCAUCACUUCACUGUGGAUGUGGCUGGGGUUGGGGACAUCUGUUCCUUUGCCCUUAUGGAUGUGAAGCGCCACGGACACCCUCAGUGGCUCUCGGCGGGACAGACUGAGGCCUCGCUGUCUCAGCGUGCGGAGGACGGCAAGACUGAGCUUUCUUUGAUGCGGUUCUCCCUGGCGCAUCCACUCUGGCGCCCCCCAGGGCACAGCUCUAAGUUUCUUGGGCACCUCUGGGGCCGAGUACAACAAGAUGCAGCUGCCUGGGGUGCCACCUCGGCUCGCGGCCCCUCCACCCCGGGGGUGCUCAGCAACUGCACCUCGCCCCUGCCUGAGUUCCUGGCCAACCUCUUCGUGCACCCUCUCCUGCCUCCGAGAGAUCUGAGCCCGACAGCCCCCUGUCCAGCUGCGGCCACAGCCAGCCUCCUUGCCUCCAUUUCCCGAAUUGCCCAGGACCCCAGCUCUGUGUCCCCAGGAGGCACUGGGGGCCAGAAGCUGGCCCAGCUCCCAGAACUUGCUUCUGCCGAGAUGAGUCUCCAUGUCAUCUACCUGCACCAGCUUCACCAGCAGCAGCAGCAGCAGGAGCCGUGGGGUGAGGCUGCAGCCUCCAUCCUGUCCAGGCCCUGCUCCAGCCCCUCACAGCCACCCUCGCCUGAUGAGGAGAAGCCAUCCUGGUCAAGUGACGGCUCCAGUCCUGCCUCUAGCCCCAGACAACAGUGGGGAACCCAGAAGGCCCGGAAUCUGUUCCCCGGAGGGUUUCAGGUGACCACAGACACCCAGAAGGAGCCUGACCGGGCCUCUUGCACUGACUGAGACGACUCCUCAGGGCCCCACUCCUGGCAGCUGAGUGCUGCACCUGCCUUCUCGAUCACGAGCCUGAGAACUGCACGGGGGAGCAGCCCAGACUGGCUGGAAACCAUGUUUUCAGAGUGCAGGGUCAAGUGGCGUCCUCUGGACAGAUGUGAGAAGGCACCACCUCAAGAGGGGAGGAGCGGGGCUGAUCCUGGUCGGGCGGACCUGAGUCGGGCAGCCGCUCUCCCGGAACUGGAAGGGAAAGCCAGGCGGCUCUCAGGGGCUGUUGGUGUCUGAGCCGGGAGGGUCGAACGCCCAGGGCACUGCGCCCCGCAACUGACGCUCCUGCAAGGAAAAGCUCUGGCACGCCGAUGACGUCGCCGGCCUCGUCCAGCUCCAUGUCGCCCUCCGUCGCCAGGAUGCGCUGCACGGUCUGCAGGACGUUGGUUGCCAUGGUAACAUCGCCGCAGACAAACAUGUGGCCCCGCUCGAGGCACAGCACGCGGUGCACCUCCGCAGCCAGCUCCGUCCUCAGGAUGUCCUGCACGUUACCAUUGCGCCCUCAGGGUCUCACACCUUGGGGUUGUCAGGUUCCCGGGAGAAGGCGGUGAGGACUCGGCCAAACACCCCGCGCUGCUGGGCGUUCUGCACCUCGUCGCGGUAGAGAUGGUCAAGUUGGGAGCAUCGGCAGCCGAACACCAAAGUCAUGGGAGUGGGCUGCAGCCCUGCAAGCAACCCCGCGCUUGGGAAGGCUCUUCUCCGGGGCACAGUGCUAGUGGGGCCUCCCCACAGGCCACCGUCGCCCAGCCUGGCAGCCCAGCGUUUUGGGCUGAAACCACCAUUACUUUGGCUGUUUCAUCUCUAAGAGAGUGUAGAAUGCUUUCACAGAGACCCUGCACAGCCCUGAUUUACAGAGGGAAGGGAAGCGCGGGUGAGGUGGUGGCCCCUGGUGGAGCUGCGCUAGAAUGCGCGGCUUCGGACUCAGAAUUCCAUGCCCUUUGCAUUGUGUGACAUCGCAGUCCCCUUCCCCGCUCCCACUUCAUAUUCUCCCAUACUUAUAACUCUCCUCCCAGUCACAGCCCUCUUCUUUUGAUUGACAGACCACCCUGGGCACCCCAUGCUCAAUAUGAACACCUUGUAGCAUCCUUAGGUCUUGGACAGACCUCGGUCAGCUCUGGCACAGUCAAGAAUCCACCUUGGGCAGUUCUUCUUUGAGUCUUAGCCCUAAUCCCUUUGAAAAUUCUAUUUUCCUUUGUCCUCAAUCCAGUCAACACCUACUAUGUACCAGGCACCAGGAAGCCAGAAGCUCAGGGCCCAGCCCUUGCCUUUGGUACCUGCCCUCCCCUUGGUCUCAUGAGCGUCUUUUCAGCUUUGUGGACUUUGUUUCCUGCCCUCUCUUUCCUAUUUCCUGCCUUCCAGCCCCACCCCUCUGUCCCUAGAUUGUGUGACUCCCUUCAGGCAGUCCUUUAGUCCCCAGCCUCACCUUUGCUCUCAAUGUCAUGCAGCCGCUCCUGCCAGAAUCCCCGGAAGGGGGCAAUGCCAGUGCCUGGACCCACCAGGAUGCAGGGCAAGCUGGGAUCGGGUGGCAGCCGGAAGGAGGGAGCCCUGGCAGGAGAGACACUCCAUCAGGUCCCCUUUGCCUUUCCUGCUCCACCAUUCUCACCAUGCAGGGUGGGUGGAGCAAGGAGGACCCAAGUUCUUCCCAUCUC
This 3781-nucleotide long non-coding RNA is filed under the name Homo sapiens (human). RNAcentral describes it as "non-protein coding lnc-ATG9B-2:3". Lineage: Eukaryota; Metazoa; Chordata; Mammalia; Primates; Hominidae. The record is from RNAcentral.